This 333-nucleotide ribosomal RNA is filed under the name Triticum aestivum (bread wheat). RNAcentral describes it as "partial small subunit ribosomal RNA". Lineage: Eukaryota; Viridiplantae; Streptophyta; Magnoliopsida; Poales; Poaceae. The record is from RNAcentral.
AUGGCUGGUAGAAUCAACAUAUUUGCUCCUAACUUGUCCCCCCAUGCUUCUAGAUUCUGGAAAGGCAUUAAAACCACUAUCCAGGCAUUGAAGUUUGGUUAUAGAUGGAAAAUUGGGUCAGUCACCAAAGUCAGAUUCUAGGAGGACACCUGGUUUGGUACCUCUCCUCUGGCUGUGCAAUUCUGGCCUAUUUACUCCAUUUGCAACGAGCAAACCAAGAGUGUUAGUGAGCUUUGGGAUGGGUAUCAGCUCAGACUAACUUUUAGGAGGAAUUUUGAUGACAUUCUUAUGGAACAAUGGCAUUCUUAUGGAACAAUGGCAUCAGUUGGUUGA